UACGUAGGUGACAAGCGUUGUUCGGAUUCAUUGGGCGUAAAGGGUCCGCAGGUGGUUAAACAAGUCUGACGUGAAAUACCGGAGCUCAACUCCGGAAUUGCGUUGGAAACUGUAUAACUGGAGUACCGGAGAGGAAAUUGGAAUUUCAGGUGUAGCGGUGGAAUGCGUAGAUAUCUGAAAGAACAUCGAAAGCGAAGGCAGAUUUCUGGACGGUUACUGACACUCAGGGACGAAAGCAUGGGGAGCAAAC
This 250-nucleotide ribosomal RNA is filed under the name uncultured prokaryote. RNAcentral's name for it is "partial 16S ribosomal RNA". It matches the Rfam family "Bacterial small subunit ribosomal RNA", at positions 524 to 773 of the family's 1533-position model. The record is from RNAcentral.